CCUACGGGUGGCAGCAGUGGGGAAUAUUGCACAAUGGGGGGAACCCUGAUGCAGCGACGCCGCGUGAGUGAAGAAGUAUUUCGGUAUGUAAAGCUCUAUCAGCAGGGAAGAAAAUGACGGUACCUGACUAAGAAGCCCCGGCUAACUACGUGCCAGCAGCCGCGGUAAUACGGAGGGGGCAAGCGUUAUCCGGAUUUACUGGGCGUAAAGGGUGCGCAGGCGGCUUGGCAAGUCCGGAGUGAAAGGCGCGGGCUGAACCCGCGAACUGCUCUGGAUACUGUUAAGCUGGAGUGUAGGAGAGGUAAGCGGAAUUCUUGGUGUAGCGGUGAAAUGCGUAGAUAUUAGGCAGAACACCGGUUGCGAAGGCAGCUUACUGGACUACAACUGACGUUGAGGCACGAAAGCGUGGGGAGCAAACAGGAUUAGAUACCCUUGUAGUC
This 440-nucleotide ribosomal RNA is filed under the name uncultured bacterium. RNAcentral's name for it is "partial 16S ribosomal RNA". It matches the Rfam family "Bacterial small subunit ribosomal RNA", at positions 338 to 795 of the family's 1533-position model. The record is from RNAcentral.